UCCUUUGAAAUCGAUAGGUUAACGAUGUCCAUUAUUUGGGAGGUCGAAGGAUUAGUUUGAAAUAGUCUAAAAAUUUGAAAGAUUUGUUUAAAAUUUUUUAAAAUUAAAGAUGUUUCAAUCUUAAGUUGAGGAGGUAUCUCUAUAUUUUUCUACGAAAAUAAAUGGCCUAGCAAGAGUGCCACCUCGAGUGAUCAGGACAGGCGGU
Molecule: long non-coding RNA, 205 nt
Filed under: Elaeis guineensis (African oil palm)
Lineage: Eukaryota; Viridiplantae; Streptophyta; Magnoliopsida; Arecales; Arecaceae
Description: long non-coding RNA (EGUI_LNC001495)
Source: RNAcentral